CAAUAAGCGGAGGAAAAGAAACUAACAAGGAUUCCCCUAGUAGCGGCGAGCGAAGCGGGAAGAGCUCAAAUUUAUAAUCUGGCACCUUCGGUGUCCGAGUUGUAAUCUCUAGAAAUGUUUUCCGCGUUGGACCGCACACAAGUCUGUUGGAAUACAGCGGCAUAGUGGUGAGACCCCCGUAUAUGGUGCGGACGCCCAGCGCUUUGUGAUACAUUUUCGAAGAGUCGAGUUGUUUGGGAAUGCAGCUCAAAUUGGGUGGUAAAUUCCAUCUAAAGCUAAAUAUUGGCGAGAGACCGAUUGCGAACAAGUACCGUGAGGGAAAGAUGAAAAGCACUUUGGAAAGAGAGUUAACAGUACGUGAAAUUGUUGGAAGGGAAACGCUUGAAGUCAGACUUGCUUGCCGAGCAAUCGGUUUGCAGGCCAGCAUCAGUUUUCCGGGAUGGAUAAUGGUAGAGAGAAGGUAGCAGUUUCGGCUGUGUUAUAGCUCUCUGCUGGAUACAUCUUGGGGGACUGAGGAACGCAGUGUGCCUUUGGCGGGGGUUUCGACCUCU
Molecule: ribosomal RNA, 551 nt
Filed under: Rhodotorula mucilaginosa
Lineage: Eukaryota; Fungi; Basidiomycota; Microbotryomycetes; Sporidiobolales; Sporidiobolaceae
Description: eukaryotic LSU rRNA
Rfam family: Eukaryotic large subunit ribosomal RNA
Source: RNAcentral